GGAGAGUGUAUAAGGUUACCCUUCUAAGGUAGUUAAGGUUAUAUAAUUAACCAACUCUUUG
Molecule: transfer RNA, 61 nt
Filed under: Panagrellus redivivus
Lineage: Eukaryota; Metazoa; Nematoda; Chromadorea; Rhabditida; Panagrolaimidae
Description: tRNA-Ser
Source: RNAcentral